This 82-nucleotide ribosomal RNA is filed under the name uncultured beta proteobacterium. RNAcentral's name for it is "partial 16S ribosomal RNA". It matches the Rfam family "Bacterial small subunit ribosomal RNA", at positions 340 to 422 of the family's 1533-position model. The record is from RNAcentral. Lineage: Bacteria; Pseudomonadati; Pseudomonadota; Betaproteobacteria.
UACGGGAGGCAGCAGUGGGGAAUUUUGGACAAUGGGGGAAACCCUGAUGCAGCAAUCCGCGUGGAGGAUGAAGUCCUUCGGG